Long non-coding RNA from Hemicordylus capensis (graceful crag lizard), 1476 nucleotides. RefSeq lists it as uncharacterized. The transcript is spliced from 4 exons. Lineage: Eukaryota; Metazoa; Chordata; Lepidosauria; Squamata; Cordylidae. The record is from RefSeq and is a predicted model, not a curated record.
UCCAAUAAUCCACCACUUGAGGUGACUGCCUCACCUUGCCUCAUGGAAGGGCCGCCCCUCUCUACUAGAGUCAAACAUUUCCGCCUUCACCCCAGCGCUAUAGCAGCUACUGCCCUUCCCCAGCUGAUGGUAAGCAGAUAUUUUAUGGCAGGAAGGAAAAGGAGGAGGCUGCAGGAAAGGGAUGAAGCUGAGAGAAUUCAUUUUGAGAAGUGCUUCAUGAAUCAUCUGGCAUUGUCCAAAAACUCACUGAUUAUACUGUUCAGCCUGAAAUGCAAACACCUACUACCAUCAAGCUGACGCGCUCCUGCCUCCGAAAGGAUUCCAGAACAGAUGAGGAAGCCGAAGCAGACAAGAGUUAGUUAAGAGCUAUUCUUCUAACAGGAAUGGCCAAAUAACUCCCUUCUAUGUUGACACACUGGAUUAGCCUUUGAGCUUAUCACCUUCACAGGAAGGAGUAGAUAAGGUAUAAGGCUCAUCUCUUGGACAGAAGUGUUAAUGGUUGGCUUGAGGCUUGGGAGGAGCACUCAUUAAAAAAAUUUAAAUCACACCCAGGUCUUCCUGACCCAUGAAGAUAAGCUUUAACCCACCCAAUCACUCUGUCCCAUACAAAUUUCCCAAACCUCUCACUCCAUUGUGCUUCAGAGCACACCCACCAAAGACUGAACAGAGGACCCUCACUCUCUAAAACCAGGUCUCACUGAUCGUGAGACUUUCUGCACUUUCUGUCCCAAAGAACCCCCAAAGUUACUUAUAGAAUUUUUGUUUUUGUUUUUUUAAAAAAGACAAAACAUAAAAACUGCUUAAAAUGUACAAACUGCAGCAUCAAUAGAAAAGAGGGGGAAAUGCACAUUAAAAGUACAAUUGUAUUUAGUAGUAGCAAUGUCAAGUCAGCCUGAAGGCCUUCCUAAGCAAAAAGGUUUUCAUUGCUCACCAAAAGCCUCUUUCAGGAAGACAGUCCAUAAUUGUGAAAGGGUGUCUGAAAGGGCCUGGCCUCAUAAGCAAGGGAGUCAAAUUGAAUCUAAAAACCCAAAAUCAGUUCAGAGGGACUUUUUCAACUGAACCGAAACUGAACUCAAAUCUGAAUACUUGAUUGUUUUUCAUUGCAACCAAAACUGCAUCCUACAUGCAAAAAGUUCAAAAUAAGUGGUUCAAUAACUGGGUGCUCCGUUUGCAAUUGUAUGUAUGAUGUCAUGUUUUAUUUUCCUGACUUGUAUCCUAUUUUAUGCGUUUCGUUGGUAUUUAAAACCCUUUAAAAAUAAAUAGUUAUUAGAAAGAAUAAAUAUCUUCUCAAGUUAAAUAGCUACCAUUCGAUUUUAUAGAAUUACAUUCCAAGCUAAAUACAAAUAUGCAUAAGAAUAUGACAAAUAUUUAUAUAUAUUGUUUUUCAACAAAGGUUCCCAGAGUGGUUUGCAUAGAUGAAAAUAAAUAAAAGGGCUCCCUGUCCCCAAAGGGCUCACGAUCUAAAAAGGAACCAUA